GAAACUAGCCGUGAAGGCGACACGCGUCGGUUUAUUCCGGUGGGGGCAGAAUCCGGCGCGAACCCCCCGGGGUCAGGCGUGGGGCCGGCUUCCAAACGGGUGUCCCCGCCUCCGCAUGGAUAGGUCCUGUUGUUUGGAAGCAAAACAGAUGAGCUGUCACGCGCCCCAGUCGAGACUUCCCCUACCCGUAAAAAGAGAAAGAGCAAAGAGAGAAGCCCCGAGCGUCAACAAGCCCGGCGGAGACGUCAGCGCAGGAGCGGUCUCCAGUUUCGGCGCUGGGCUGUUUUGUUUUGCAACCAGGACGGAGACCCGGGCGGCAGGAAGGUGAAGCCCGGAGAAGAGCAGGAACCAGACUUGGAACUUCUGUAUGGGAUCCCGCUGAAAACAAAAGCAAAAAAACAAAACCAAAGCCAGCCUUCCCUGCCCGGAGUGUGCGUGGAGGCCAGAGUUGGAAAAGCUCGGGUGUCUUAUCUCCUGCAGCCGCCUCAAGGCCAGGCAAAGAAACAGUUGUUAGAGACUUUUCACAGGAACUUGGAAAAAGUGCACCAAAUAAAUGUAAUUACUGUUUGUUUCUGCUACCGGGCCCGGCCAGUGGUGGGAAACCGUAUUUAUUUUGCUCAUCUUCUCCACAGUGGAAAGGCAUGAAUUCCAGCAUUACCGGCCGGAGGUGGAGUAACAGUGCCACACAGUCUGUUGCUGGGUGCUUUUGCCUCGAGCGUCUGGGAGGGCAGCUCCUUCUAUAAAAUGCGCCGCGGCUGGGCGCUGGACAUGGGACAGAGUCUGUCAAAUAAGUGAGGAUGUUUGCUGUGCACAGAGAUCGCACUCAGCACGGGGAAGCAACCCCCUCUCUGCCCUUCCGUGACGUCUGGCUCAACAGAAGACAGUGGGACGCUCCCCUCUGCUUCUGUAGGUAACUUGUUGAAAUGUUUUGGUAGAAAAACCCCGGCAGCAGCUGCAACAGGAGAGGCGUCUUGGCAGCCUCGUCGGUAACGGCCUAGGGUCUUCCUCGAUCCAGCCCUGAAACUCUUUCCUAAAAGCUGGUAGAGUGCAGCUUCUGAAACCACCCGAUGAAUCUUCUUACAGUCGCUCCCAAUGCCUUGAUCUGCCUCACGGUUUGAUCUUUGAUCGCGCUGCUUAACCGGUGCCUUUAUGAUGCGACAGGAAAUAAAGGCUCCCCCAGUCCAGAACUUCCCAAAGGCGACCUCCUCACGCGGCCCCAGAACUUGCUGUAGUAUCAUCUCAAGGUAUCGGGGAGCUGUAGAGCCCGCCUUGGUGAGUGGACCUUUCCCCAAAUUAGAUUUAAAUUUAAUCCAAAGUUAUUUUAAAGUUUGAUUUUGUCCACUAACAAGAGUUGUUUUGCUUAGAGUGCCAGUCUUACUUCGCUCACAGUUGAGAAAAGAACUGUCAAGUGCUAUGUUGGUCUAUCGGUUUCGAGUAAAAAUGGCACAUCAUGAAAAGCAGAAUUGCAGCUUGCAAUUCAGACAAUAGCAGGAAUACUUUUCCCCACGGUAGCCAUCCUAGUCUGCACAGCUUCCUGUUGGCUGGCAUGUGCCGAUAAUUCCUCCAGGCAGUAGGCUGAGGCAGGAGGAUUUUGAGUGUAAGGCCGGCCUGGGCUACGUAAUAAAAAGAUAUGUACUCUGGGUCAAGGUCUGAUGAAAUCGCUUUAUCAAUAAUCCUUGAGUGAAUCUGUCGUCUCUUUUUGCUGACCGUGUUUGGCAGAGUUGAGUAUUUGCCAUGGCCUUGCCUUGGGAAGAAGCUAGCAUUUCACGCUGCACCGCUUUUGUACCGCCAAUGCAAGGGUCCGCACAGUGCAACAGCGGUCUUAGGGUCAGUCAGGAAAGAGGUUUGACCUCGCAGGCCACCCCGUGUGUCUCAGGGGACUCAGAGUUGUGUGGACCACAUUUUGAGAAAGGUCGCUGACAGCGCUUUUCAAAGUCACGCUUUCAUUUUCUUGUGUAAGAACAUCUGAGGGUGGGGCGGAGCUCAGUGGGAGCGCGCUUGCUUGGCGGCACGAGGGGUGGGGUUCCGUUCCUAGCAGGUAAGUAGGAUGGAAAGACGGGGAGGGAGAGAGAGAGGAAGAAAGAAAAAAGAAGAGAGAGGGAGGGAGGGAAAGAGGGGGAAGGACAGAGAAAGAAAGAAGAAGGAGGGCCAGGGAUUUAGUUAAAAAAAAAAAAAGAAUUCAUUUUGGAAAUUAGACCGUAUCACUUUAUAGAGAUCGCCUGUGUUCAUUUUUUAUAAGUGCAUAGUACUCCACUGUUAGAUGUACCAUCAUUUAAUAAUCUCUUAUGUUUGCACAUUUGGGCCGUGAUUGUAAACAGUUUCACCAUGAGCCACCUGUUCUUGGACAGCUGUCUACAAGUGCGAUCACUGUGUCGGAAACUGAACACACACGGUUACGUUAGGUAUUGACAAAGUCUGCUUCACAAGUGAUGUUCCAGUUUGCAUUUCUAUCAGCAGUGGCGGGGGGGGGUUCCAGUGUCCCCACAGGCUUGGCAACAGAGUGUGUCACGGAAGAGAGACAUGUAAAUUAACCCUGUGGUAGACACGGGCGAUCUCCACAGCCAGCAGCAGCCUUUGCUCGGGACUUCCUCCUGCAAUAAAAGAUUUUGGGUCAAUGGAACUGGAACUGGACCCCAGCCAAAGAUGGAACGGAGCCCUUAUCCGGGCGGCGCUGAGGACCUGGGCUGUCUCUUUUAGGAAACUCAAAGGUGGGACUUGCUUAAUCAGACCUGGCUGUAUACCAACCAAAAUAGAUGUAAGGAUACGGAAAAAAAAAAAAAAAAAAAAAACCAACAAGAAGAAAGUCAAGUCCAAAAUAGUGUAAAAUGUCACAUUUCAAGUCCUU
Fukomys damarensis (Damara mole-rat) is the source of this 2845-nucleotide long non-coding RNA. NCBI's taxonomy places the organism in Eukaryota, Metazoa, Chordata, Mammalia, Rodentia, Bathyergidae. The record is from Ensembl.